Molecule: ribosomal RNA, 603 nt
Filed under: uncultured Hyphodontia
Lineage: Eukaryota; Fungi; Basidiomycota; Agaricomycetes; Corticiales; Corticiaceae
Description: eukaryotic LSU rRNA
Rfam family: Eukaryotic large subunit ribosomal RNA
Source: RNAcentral
AAACUAACAAGGAUUCCCCUAGUAACUGCGAGUGAAGCGGGAAAAGCUCAAAUUUAAAAUCUGACAGUUUCACUGUCCGAGUUGUAAUCUGGAGAAGCAUUUUCCGUGUCGGACCGUGUACAAGUCUCUGGGAAUAGAGCGUCAUAGAGGGUGAGAAUCCCGUCCAUGACACGGACUACCGAUGCUUUGUGAUAUGCUCUCGAAGAGUCGAGUUGUUUGGGAAUGCAGCUCAAAAUGGGUGGUAAAUUCCAUCUAAAGCUAAAUAUUGGCGAGAGACCGAUAGCGAACAAGUACCGUGAGGGAAAGAUGAAAAGCACUUUGGAAAGAGAGUUAAACAGUACGUGAAAUUGUUGAAAGGGAAACGCUUGAAGUCAGUCGCGUUGAUUGAGACUCAGCCUUGCUUUGCAUGGUGUACUUCUCAGUUAACGGGUCAACAUCAAUUUCAGUUGGUGGAUAAAGGCAUUGGGAAUGUGGCACCUUCGGGUGUGUUAUAGACCUUUGUUGCAUACACUGACCGGGAUUGAGGAACGCAGCACGCCACUAAGGCCAGGGGUUCGCCCCAUGUAACGUGCUUAGGAUGUUGGCAUAAUGGCUUUAAGCGAC